UAAAGCUAGGUUUGUGGUUGAAAGUCGAAGCUAGUCGCAGGCAAAACGAUCCACGUAAUUUAGACAAAAUGUCUAAGGAGCAUGGUGCGGUAUAGAAGUAAGUCCUGCCAGUCGAUAGAACUGAGAGGGUUAGUAGUGAGGGAUUAAUUUUUAGUAGCAAAAGCUCCAGCAGGCGAGUGUGGGGUCAAAGACCAGGUCAGCUAGCUUUA
This is a regulatory RNA element of Clostridium puniceum, 209 nucleotides long. It matches the Rfam family "raiA RNA". Lineage: Bacteria; Bacillati; Bacillota; Clostridia; Eubacteriales; Clostridiaceae. The record is from Rfam.